This 773-nucleotide ribosomal RNA is filed under the name uncultured Neocallimastigales. Its description in RNAcentral is "partial large subunit ribosomal RNA". It matches the Rfam family "Eukaryotic large subunit ribosomal RNA", at positions 26 to 639 of the family's 3401-position model. The record is from RNAcentral. Lineage: Eukaryota; Fungi; Neocallimastigomycota; Neocallimastigomycetes; Neocallimastigales.
CGCAUCUGUGCAUGCAGCAUAUCAAUAAGCGGAGGAAAAGAAACUAACAAGGAUUCCCUAGUAACGGCGAGUGAAGCGGGAAGAGCUCAAAUUUGAAAUCUUCAAGGUUUUACCUUGACGAAUUGUAGUUUAAAGAAGUGUUUUCUGUUGAAGUUUUGGUAAAAGUUCUUUGGAAUAGGACAUCAUAGAGGGUGAGAAUCCCGUAUUUGACCAUUAUUUUCAGCUGUGUGAUACACUUUCAAAGAGUCGGAUUGUUUGGGAAUGCCGUCCAAAAUGGGUGGUAAAUUUCAUCUAAAGCUAAAUAUUGGCGAGAGACCGAUAGCGAACAAGUACCGUGAGGGAAAGAUGAAAAGAACUUUGAAAAGAGAGUUAAACAGUACGUGAAAUUGUCAAAAGGGAAGCGUUUGACACCAGUGUUGUUUUCUCGAAAAUCAAUUAAAAAGAGUUAGAUUUUGUUGUGUAUUGACCUUAACAGCUUGCAUUUCAAUUUUCUUGCUUUUUUUAAUGCACUUUUCGUUUAACAAGUCAACAUCAGUUUCUUUUGUUGUAAAAAGGUCAUUGGAAGGUGGCUUUCUUUUCGGAGAAAGUGUUUAUAGCCUUUGACUCCUGCAAUCGGAGAGACUGAGGUCUGCAGCGUAGAUCCUUCGGGGUUAGAUACAUUUGUGCUAAGUUAUAGCUUUUUAUAGACAACUUGUUGACUAUGAUUAGUCUUGUAGCUUACUCGCUUAUGCUAUUUUACCUACGCUUAGGAUGUUGACGCGCGUGUGUGCGUG